Molecule: ribosomal RNA, 593 nt
Filed under: Rhodococcoides fascians
Lineage: Bacteria; Bacillati; Actinomycetota; Actinomycetes; Mycobacteriales; Nocardiaceae
Description: bacterial SSU rRNA
Rfam family: Bacterial small subunit ribosomal RNA
Source: RNAcentral
GUGUGGUGGAAAGAUUUAUCGGUGCAGGAUGGGCCCGCGGCCUAUCAGCUUGUUGGUGGGGUAAUGGCCUACCAAGGCGACGACGGGUAGCCGACCUGAGAGGGUGACCGGCCACACUGGGACUGAGACACGGCCCAGACUCCUACGGGAGGCAGCAGUGGGGAAUAUUGCACAAUGGGCGGAAGCCUGAUGCAGCGACGCCGCGUGAGGGAUGAAGGCCUUCGGGUUGUAAACCUCUUUCAGCAGGGACGAAGCGUGAGUGACGGUACCUGCAGAAGAAGCACCGGCUAACUACGUGCCAGCAGCCGCGGUAAUACGUAGGGUGCGAGCGUUGUCCGGAAUUACUGGGCGUAAAGAGUUCGUAGGCGGUUUGUCGCGUCGUUUGUGAAAACCCGGGGCUCAACUUCGGGCUUGCAGGCGAUACGGGCAGACUUGAGUGUUUCAGGGGAGACUGGAAUUCCUGGUGUAGCGGUGAAAUGCGCAGAUAUCAGGAGGAACACCGGUGGCGAAGGCGGGUCUCUGGGAAACAACUGACGCUGAGGAACGAAAGCGUGGGUAGCAAACAGGAUUAGAUACCCUGGUAGUCCACGCCG